Molecule: ribosomal RNA, 427 nt
Filed under: uncultured bacterium
Lineage: Bacteria
Description: partial 16S ribosomal RNA
Rfam family: Bacterial small subunit ribosomal RNA
Source: RNAcentral
UGGGGAAUAUUGGACAAUGGGCGAAAGCCGGAUCCAGCCAUGCCGCGUGUGUGAAGAAGGUCUUCGGAUUGUAAAGCACUUUAAGUUGGGAGGAAGGGCAUUAACCUAAUACGUUAGUGUUUUGACGUUACCGACAGAAUAAGCACCGGCUAACUCUGUGCCAGCAGCCGCGGUAAUACAGAGGGUGCAAGCGUUAAUCGGAAUUACUGGGCGUAAAGCGCGCGUAGGUGGUUUGUUAAGUUGGAUGUGAAAUCCCCGGGCUCAACCUGGGAACUGCAUUCAAAACUGACUGACUAGAGUAUGGUAGAGGGUGGUGGAAUUUCCUGUGUAGCGGUGAAAUGCGUAGAUAUAGGAAGGAACACCAGUGGCGAAGGCGACCACCUGGACUAAUACUGACACUGAGGUGCGAAAGCGUGGGGAGCAAACA